AACGUAGGGGACAAGCGUUAUCCGGAUUUACUGGGCGUAAAGCGCCCGUAGGCGGCCUGACAAGUUGGACGUGAAAGCUCCUGGCUUAACUGGGAGAGGCCGUUCAAAACUGUCAAGCUAGAGUCUGGAAGAGGAGAGCGGAAUUCCUGGUGUAGCGGUGAAAUGCGCAGAUAUCAGGAGGAACACCGAUGGCGAAGGCAGGUCUCUGGGCCACUACUGACGCUGAGAAGCGAAAGCAUGGGGAGCGAACAGG
This 253-nucleotide ribosomal RNA is filed under the name uncultured bacterium. RNAcentral's name for it is "partial 16S ribosomal RNA". It matches the Rfam family "Bacterial small subunit ribosomal RNA", at positions 524 to 776 of the family's 1533-position model. The record is from RNAcentral.